UCCGUAGGUGAACCUGCGGAGGGAUCAUUACACAAUACAAUAUGAAGGCUGUCCGCAGCUGGAGUAUUUUAUUACCCUUGUCUUUUGCGCACUUGUAGUUUCCUGGGCGGGUUCGCUCGCCACCAGGACCACCAAAUAAACCUUUUUUAUGCAGUUGCAAUCAGCGUCAGUACAAACAAUGUAAAUCAUUUACAACUUUCAACAACGGAUCUCUUGGUUCUGGCAUCGAUGAAGAACGCAGCGAAAUGCGAUACGUAGUGUGAAUUGCAGAAUUCAGUGAAUCAUCGAAUCUUUGAACGCACAUUGCGCCCUUUGGUAUUCCAAAGGGCAUGCCUGUUCGAGCGUCAUUUGUACCCUCAAGCUUUGCUUGGUGUUGGGCGUUUUUGUCUUUGGUCGCCCAAAGACUCGCCUUAAAGUGAUUGGCAGCGGGCCUUUCUGGUUUCGCAGCGCAGCACAUUUUUGCGCUUGCCAUCAGCAAAACGGCAAUCCAUCAAGCCUCCUUCUCACGUUUGACCUCGGAUCAGGUAGGGAUACCCGCUGAACUUAAGCAUAUCAAUAAGCGGAGGAA
This 568-nucleotide ribosomal RNA is filed under the name Curvularia lunata. RNAcentral's name for it is "eukaryotic LSU rRNA". The stretch from base 194 to 347 matches the Rfam family "5.8S ribosomal RNA". The record is from RNAcentral. Lineage: Eukaryota; Fungi; Ascomycota; Dothideomycetes; Pleosporales; Pleosporaceae.